This 647-nucleotide long non-coding RNA is filed under the name Brassica napus (rape). RNAcentral's name for it is "long non-coding RNA (BNAP_LNC026852)". Lineage: Eukaryota; Viridiplantae; Streptophyta; Magnoliopsida; Brassicales; Brassicaceae. The record is from RNAcentral.
UAAAAGAACUCAGAACUAAACACUCUAAAAUACAAGAGUAAAAACUUAAAAAGAAGAUGACUAGCCGGAAGCCUUGCGAUGAACUAAGCAAGAGAGUAAGUAACGUAGAAGACUUCUUCGUGAAGAGCCAAGAACUCAUCUAAAUCACAAGUUCACAAUGACAACACCCAAACCACAACAAUCUCAUCUGAACGUCAUGUUCACGAUGACAACCAACGAACCACACCGCAUGUACCAAGGCAGAAACCAUGAAGAAACAUCAAUAGAAGAAAGCCCCUACUCAAACGCACCUUCAUCUGGAAGCUUUAGCGCCUCAGCCUCAUUAUAUUGCUUCACUACAGGAAGCCACUGAGGGCAAACAGAGAGAAAAAGCAUACCAGGAACAACACUUAUUAAAAGGCCAAAAAGAGAACCACUUGCAAACCAAGAGAUGAAAAAGAAACCUGAACCCAACUUCAUCACAAAGACUAGAAUCUUCAACUGCUCAUCACACACGACUACGUUACUGCUAACACGCUGCUAAAUCAAAGACCAACUAAGCCACACUUUACAACCCAGAGAAGAUAAUUGGAUUCAAACCCUUUCAAACUGUCAACAACACCACUCGAAACAGGCUGAAGACAGCCACUACAACACAGGGGAACCAC